GAUGAAGUAAGUAAGGGCGUACGGUGAAUGCCUUGGUGCCAACAGGCGAAGAAGGACGCGGCAAGCUGCGAAAAGCCUCGGGAAGCUGCAAGCAAGCGAUGAUCCGGGGAUAUCCGAAUGGGGUAACCUGAUCGAGGCAAUACUCGAUCGUUCAUACCUGAAUACAUAGGGUAUGAAACGCGAAACCCGCUGAAGUGAAACAUCUCAGUAAGCGGAGGAAAAGAAAGAGAAAUCGAUUCCGUAAGUAGUGGCGAGCGAAAGCGGAUGGAGCCCAAACCGAAGGUAUUCCUUCGGGGUUGUAGGACCACGUCAUAUUCGACCAUACUGGAUAGUAGAACAGCCUGGAAAGGCUGGCCGGAGAAGGUGAAAGCCCUGUAGACGAAAUCCAGAGUGGGAAUUAGUGGUAUCCUGAGUAAUACAUCACACGUGGAACGAUGUAUGAACCCGCGCGGACCACCGCGCAAGGCUAAAUACUAGUUGGCGACCGAUAGUGAACAAGUACCGCGAGGGAAAGGUGAAAAGAACCGCUGUGAGCGGAGUGAAAUAGAACCUGAAACCGUAUGUCUACAAAGUGUCAGAGCAGAGCAAUCUGCGAUGGCGUGCCUUUUGUUUAAUGAGUCUGCGAGUCAGUGUUUGUGGCAAGACUAAGGGCUUCCGGCCCGGAGUCGCAGCGAAAGCAAGUCCGAACAGGGCGCAAUAAGUCGCAGGUACUGGACCCGAAGCGGAGGUGACCUACCCUUGGCCAGGUUGAAGCAUGGGUAAAACCAUGUGGAGGACCGAACAGGUGAACGUUGAAAAGUUCUCUGAUGAGCUGAGGGUAGGAGUGAAAGGCUAAUCAAACCCCGUGAUAGCUGGUUCUCUUCGAAAUGCAUUUAGGUGCAGCGUCACGUGCUGAUGCGCGGGGGUAGAGCACUGACAAGGCUAGGGGGCACACCCGCUUACCAAACCUUAUCAAACUCCGAAUACCGUGCAAUGGAACGUGGCAGUGAGACAGUGGGGGAUAAGCUUCAUUGUCGAGAGGGAAACAACCCAGACCAGCAGCUAAGGUGCCUAAAUAACGCUCAGUGGAAAGGAUGUGGGAUUACACAGACAGUGAGGAUGUUGGCUUAGAAGCAGCCACCAUUUAAAAAAUGCGUAAUAGCUUACUCAUCGAGUGAUCCUGCGCCGAAAAUGAUUGGCGAUCAAGCGUUAUACCGAAGCUCUGGACUUUGCCGCAAGGCAGAGUGGUAGAAGAGCGUUGCAUGCGCGUCGAAGGGCGAUGGCGACUGACCCUGGAGCACAUGCAAGUGAGUAUGCAGACAUGAGUAACGUUAAGCCGGGUGAAAUCCCCGGCCGCCGUAAACCCGAGGUUUCCAGGGCAACGUGUUUCGUCCCUGGGUUAGCCGGGACCUAAGCCGAGGCCGAGAGGCGUAGGCGAUGGACAUCAGGUUAAUAAUCCUGAGCUCGCAACCCUUAAACUGGGGGGACGCAUGAGAAAAGAUGACUAGGUUAUUGAAUUCCGAGUUGAGUCCACGGACUCAGCGCAUCAUUGGAUCGAGUGCCAAGAAAAGCCCCAGCGUAUGCUAAGCGACCCGUACCGCAAACCGACACAGGUGGGUGGGUAGAAUAUACCAAGGCGUAAGAGUGAAACCUGGUUAAGGAACUCGGCAAAUUAGCCCCGUAACUUCGGAAGAAGGGGUGCCUGCAGCGAUGCAGGCCGCAGAGAAAUGGCCCAACCGACUGUUUAUCAAAAACACAGCACUCUGCAAAGACGCAAGUCGAAGUAUAGGGUGUGACACGUGACCAAUGCCGAAAGAUUAAGGCAAGGGGUUAGCCGCAAGGCGAAGCUCUAAACCCAAGUCCCGGUGAAUGUCGGCCGUAACUAUAACGGUCCUAAGGUAGCGAAAUUCCUUGUCGGGUAAGUUCC
Molecule: ribosomal RNA, 1906 nt
Filed under: Escherichia coli
Lineage: Bacteria; Pseudomonadati; Pseudomonadota; Gammaproteobacteria; Enterobacterales; Enterobacteriaceae
Description: partial 23S ribosomal RNA
Rfam family: Bacterial large subunit ribosomal RNA
Source: RNAcentral